This 499-nucleotide ribosomal RNA is filed under the name uncultured bacterium. Its description in RNAcentral is "bacterial SSU rRNA". It matches the Rfam family "Bacterial small subunit ribosomal RNA", at positions 21 to 518 of the family's 1533-position model. The record is from RNAcentral.
GGUUCAGGAUGAACGCUGGCGGCGUGCUUAACACAUGCAAGUCGAACGGAGUUUUUAAACGGAAGUUUUCGGAUGGAAGUUUAGAAACUAGUGGCGGACGGGUGAGUAACGCGUGGGUAACCUGCCUCAGUACAGGGGGAUAACAGUUAGAAAUGACUGCUAACACCGCAUAAUAUAGCGAAACCGCAUGAUUUUUGCUAUCAAAUAUUUAUAGGUAUGAGAUGGGCCCGCGUCUGAUUAGCUAGUUGGUGGGGUAAAAGCCUACCAAGGCGACGAUCAGUAGCCGGCUUGAGAGAGUGACCGGCCACAUUGGGACUGAGACACGGCCCAAGCUCCUACGGGAGGCAGCAGUGGGGAAUAUUGGACAAUGGGGGAAACCCUGAUCCAGCGAACCGCCGCGUGAGUGAAGAAGUAUUUCGGUAUGUAAAGCUCUAUCAGCAGGGAAGAUAAUGACAGUACCUGACUAAGAAGCCCCGGCUAACUACGUGCCAGCCGCUGC